Molecule: long non-coding RNA, 843 nt
Filed under: Crocodylus porosus (Australian saltwater crocodile)
Lineage: Eukaryota; Metazoa; Chordata; Crocodylia; Crocodylidae
Description: lncRNA (ENSCPRG00005016276.1)
Source: RNAcentral
GAAAACUGGAAAGGAAGGGAUGGCUUGAUAUUCCUGAGAACUGGGCAGGGAAUUUUUCAUUUGGCAGAAAAAUCUGCAGAGUGAGCUGCUUCUCUUUCUUUUUCUUUUUUUCUUUCUGUUUUAGCUUGCAAAGCUUUCUUAAAAGCAAAGCUCUUUUUCCAUCUGAAAAUUGUGAGACAUUCCUCUUUCAAAACUAAUGUGUGCCAUGUCUGACUUGCAAAAAGCUCUUUGCAUGGAAGUGUAACUAAGAGGUUUCAAGAGGCUGAAGCAAUAAAGGCCAAAAAUUAAAAAAAAGAGCUAAAGUAUUUGCUCUGUGCAUCAAGAUUGUGUGGACAUCCUGUCUGGACCGCAGCACAGAUAAUAAUCAUUUGUGCAAAGGGGUCUCUUAGGCUGGGGCAAGCAGCAGGGAGAGAAGCCAACCUCGGUGUCUCCAUAGAGCUGGGAGAGAUCUCAAAUAUUUCUGUUUAUCUGCAGAACAGCUGCCUUCCUGGAAAAGGGGCUCUUGGACACCUCAAGCCCUAACCCCAGCCCUCCCGCUUGCUGGAUUGGAUGCUGACUACGGGCUGUUGAACUCUGCCUGCUUUCUGGUUCUUGCCUCUGGCUCUGACCCCAGUGCCUCACACCUUGACUGCUGACUUCGGUGCCUGGCUUUGGAUACCCCGAGUAGCGGUGCUGCAGCUACGUUGGUUCGGGGAACGUGCCAGCAGAAAAAACAGUGAGGCGAGGCAAUAUCUUUAGACCUGGGAGAGCUUUUGGGUGCAGCAGACUCUUCCCCGGGUCUGGGAAAGAUGCAGGGACAGCCUGAGCUCAACACCGGCUCCAACAACUACUUGCAGACCCUGC